GGCACCCGGGCAGGAAUGUGAUGAGCUCUUCCGUUUUCCUGGCUGGGAGAAGGGGGAGUUUCCUUAGAACCCUAAAAACAGGGGAGGGAGAACUUACUCGCGACUGGCACGAAUCCUUUGGAGAUGAGCUCCGGCAGGAAGAGGUAAUAAAUGUCGUUGAUCGCAUUGGAGGUCCAGAACACCGCCCUGGGGAUGCCGAAUUCGUCCGCCAGAUCCUGGGUGAAUCCGUUGAAGGUGUCCGUGAUCAUGCAGCAAACGGGGUUCCCUUCCUCCUGGAACUUCCGGAUAAGCUCUCGCACAGAGGCUGCCAUGGCUCGCGCUGCCAGGCGGAUCUUCUCCACGAUCGCGCUGGAAUCCCCCUUGGCGAGAUCGUUGCUGCUGCGCAUGCUGUUACCUGGAUUGUCCGAGACCUCGACGAUGCGGACGUUGCUCUUGGCGUGGGGGUCUGCAAUCAGAUCGCGCGUCUGGUGCAUGAGCUUCAUGUUGCUCGGAUUGGAAUGGUGACAUCGCAGGCCGCGAGACGGCGGCAGAAGUGCAUCAGUGAGUUCGUGUGGCCCGGGAUUGGGAAUGGGAACGCUAGAACAUGAGGCUUCUUGCUAGCACCCGCCAUUCGCAGCGCUUUGAUCUUUUGAUCUUGGAUUGGAAGCCAGGUAAGAUAUAGGCGAGUACCGAGAGCCCAAUUAGAACACCACAAAAAGGAAUGCUCCUUGUGAGAGGCACGAAAGUGCAAGAAAGUAGACCGGAAUUGACCAGGCAAUCUGAUCCUUUGCUCUACAGCACGAAACAAAAGCUGGUACUCGCCAUUCCGGAGCUGCUGGAUUCGUUGGUGGCCGCUUUACUGCAGCAGGUGACAAGCGAAAAGAGGAAGGAAAGGCUACUUGAAGUGUUCUUGCAGAAGAUCACAGUGACUUCUUAGCUUGCUCGCCCUGUAAAGCUGCUCGAGCGGAAUGGAGGCGGAAAAGACUUGUAGAGAUCUUCACAAACUGCAAGACAUGGCGCGGGUUUUUUUCCUCAAGUGCCGAUCAUAAGAUGCUGAAAGACAGAUGGUUUUGAAGGAUGGAAUUCCGAGAGCGUAGGUUUUGCGAGGUGGUCAUGGCUUCAAACGACUUUGAAAUCGACGACAUGGAUCAGAAGCCUUGCUACUGGUCGAUGAACCCAAGCUUAUAAAUUCUUUCAUCAAAGGCGAUGUGGCGAGCAAAGCGCUCCUUCGUGUGGAUGGAAACAAAUAGACGCUGCGGAGGGUUACUAAAGAGGGGCGUGAUCUAGCAUCACAUAGUUCGUCGAUAAAAGCCUUCAUGCCAUGAAGCUCCAUAGAACUUCUUGAUAUUCAAGCAAGGAUGCCUAGAUUGACAAAGUGGAAGUUCCAAAAACGUAAAGCCCGUUCACUACUUUUGCUAAAUGCGGAUGACUUUCCAUGCUUGUAAUGUAUGGAAUCCCGCGUCAAGAUUCGCACAUAAUAGAGAAGACUCUCUGCUCUUCAUGCCAUGAAGGAUUUCUCAACAACAAUAUUAACUUACUAAACAAAAGGUUAUAUUAUAAUUAAAAAUGUGAUUUAACCAGUCAGCUUUGCAAUAAAAGUUCUAGAAAAAUUUGCCCCGCUAAACUUUCGUCUUCUUUCCAUUCAAAACUUACCAAAGAAUUCUUAACCUUUGGUCGACAUGGCUCCUUCAGCCUGCCUAGUUCCCAAGUGCUCAAGUUUCCUCCUCAACUCCUCCCUCGCCAUCCCUCACCACGAUCUGUCCACCAGCUCCAUCCCCCGCUCACGAUUGGCCACCCCAGCACCUGCCUGCUCAUGCUCUCCUGGAUCGAAUCCACCUGCAAUGGCUCAGGAAUCUGCUCAGGAAUGCAUCCAUAGAUGUUGGAGAAGUUCCCGCAACAAGCCAUUGCUCAAAAAAGAAUUGCAAAGGCAAGAAAGAUCUAGAACUUACACGCACCCGACCACUUGGCCCUGUGCAGGAUUGCGACUGGUAUCACGAAGCACCAUGCCGUGUCGCUGCUCUCCUGCUAAAUCAAUGUGGAAAUUGUACCUAGUCUCCGGCAAGAGGAUAGGGUCUCGCUGCUUUUGCCCAAGGCAAAGGGUGUAUAUUGCCUGCGAGAGAAGAGGAUUGAAUGACAAGAAGCUAGCCCUCCCUUCCUUGGUGAUUGCUAAGCACAUUAAAUUAAAACAUUGGCUAGUUUAAGAAGUUAGAUAAAUUAUAUUUUUGGAGUGGAAUAUAUUUAAAUAUUCUAGGAUAUUUUACCAUUUAACGGUUAUUAAUUAUUUAGAUUAACUUUGUAUUUAUAAUUUAUAAAUUUUCCUAAACACUUCUUAGUCUAUUCUAGUUUAUUCUAAUAAUUGAUAAACAUGUUUAUAAUUAAAAAAUCUAAUUGAUUAAUUAUAUUAAUAAAAAUAAGAAUAUCACUAUUAUUAAGCAAAAUCGAGCCUAACAAAUUAUUUAUUGAUUAUAAUAUAACUUUUUGUUUAAUAGUCAGUGUGAGGACAUUUAUCACAUCUUCCUGCCGGAAAAGGAUUCGUGCCUCCCCUGGUUUUAGGGUUCUAAGGAAACUCCCUUACAUUCCUGCCUAGCUGCCCGCCGAUGCCCGGGCGUGAUCUGCGACGGCGCGUCGCGGUUCGCGGAGGCGAGAUUCGCGCUGUGCAACAGCUACGAGGAGCCGGAGCCCCACGCGACGCUGGUCAAAUCCAGCUACUUCCCCGGCAUUCUUCGCAGGGGAAUCGACAGCGGUGGAGCGAUCCAGCGAGCACCUGUCUCCCAAGGAUCUGGCGUGCCUGGAGUGCUCGACACACCAGAAGGAAUCCUCCGUGAUCUACGUCUCCUUCGCCAGCGUGGCCACCAUGUCCGCGGAGCAAUUCCAGGAGCUCGCCAGGGGCCUGGAGCGCAGCAACCAGCCAUUCGUAUGGUGCUGCGCAAGACCCUCGUCGCGGAUCCAUCGGUGCACGAUUUCUUCGAGGGAUUGAAGCAGCGGAUUGGCAAGCGCGGGAUCGUGAUUUCGUGGGCGCCGCAAAUGCACGUCUUGCUCCACCCGCAGAUUCCUGACGCACUGCGGGUGGAACUCGACCGUGGAGGGGAUCUGUGCGGGCGUGCCGAUGCUCGCCUGGCCUUGCAUGGCGGAGCAAAACGUGAACUGUAAGGAGCUUGUGGAGCACUGGAAGCUGGCGGUCCCGGUCCAGGAGGAUCGGGAUAAAAGCUCCGUGGUCUCGGUCUCAAGCGAGAGGCUGGCGGAUCUCGUGGUGGAAUUCCUGAGCCCGGGCUCCCAUCUCGCGACCCUUGUCGCCGUUCAGAAUCCUCCUUUGCUUAAGCUUUGAAAGAUUUUUUGGAAGAUAACAACCAUUAUGUAAAGUCAAUAUUUUGAAGAUUAAGAUGAAUCAAUUGGUCGUGAUUCAUGGGCCUACAUUUCUGCAAGUCUUUACGGACAAGAGAAUCUGACACUCUCCUCUCUUUUAAUGAAUGAAUUUUUGGCUUGAGAAACUACGUUUAAAGGUAAACAAGUUUAAGAUUUAUAAACACAGCAUUUCUAGAACCAAAUAUACUAGCAUAUUCUAGGUUCGAAAAGUCUUUCACGUUGCCGUCACCUUUUAGAUUAGGGUUUAAGUUUCAAAUGCACAGCUCACCGUCCUCACAAAUAAGAUCUAAUCUUCCGCAGCCACAUGAAUUUUCAUUCUUAUCCAUGGUGCUGCCCAGCAUUUUUCCUCGACGUCCUGCCCAAGUGCAACAAGGAGUUAAGUAUAAUUUGUGGUGCCUCCAGGUUUUGUCUUGAUUGAUUCUCUCUGGAAAACUUGCAGGCAGCGCACAAGAAAAGAAACCACCAAUUCUUGGCUGGAAGCAAGAGGUUACGUUACAACACAUCCCCGAGCCACCUGAUUGUGAUGCUCCCGUUCACUGUCCGCCUCCGGAGCCGUGCAUCAGCCAUGUGAGAAUGUUCUGUUAAAUCCUUCUAUCUCCUUGCCACUGGAGCAUAAAUAUCAUAAAUUUCUUGUCUAGGACGGGAUGAUUCUCCAGGAAAGGAUUGCAGCGAGGCGUGCUGCAAUUGCCAGCUCCAAAAAUGUGAAAAUCCCUCUCUUCAAGAGGCAUUCCAUCGCCCUCUGAGCUUUGAAAUGAAUAAAAAUCUUAAUGUAGUUAGCUAAAAUCAUUAAAUUUAAAUAAAAGAAGAGUAAGAAACAAGUCAUCCGUUGUAGUCUAGUCGGUCAGGAUACUCGGCUCUCACCCGAGAGACCCGGGUUCAAUUCCCGGCGACGGAAUUGUUUUUUUUUUUGGAAUAGUAUAAAGAGGUAUAGCUGAUUAAAGUAACAAAAGAGAAAGUUUCUCCGUGAUUAGAGUAACCUUCCAUUCACCAAAUAAUUUUUAAUGGCCUACCUAAUUCCCAAGCGCCCAAGUUCCCUCCUCAGCUCCUUCCUUGCCAUCACUCACCAUGCCACUGCACGAUCUGUCCACCAGCUCCAUUCCCCGCUCCACCCCAGCGCUCAUGCUCUCCAGCAUCGAAUUCCACCACCUGCAAUGGCUCAGGAAUCUGCUACCCAUAAGUGUUGGAGAAGUUCCCGCAAGAAGCCAUUGCUCAGAAGCAACAGAAAAAGAAUUGCAAAGGCAACAAAGACCUAGAACUUAACCACUUGGCUGACUGGUAUCACGAAGCACCAUGCCAUGUCGCUGCUCUCCUGCUAAAUCUCCGGCAAGAGGAUAGUGUCUCGCUGCUUUUGCCAAGGCAAAGGGUGUAAGUUUGCGUCUAAACACCUGCGAGAGAAGAGGUGACAGCGCAUUAAAUUAAAACAUGUUAAGGGAGCAUCCAUGGAGCUCGAAGCAUCGGCUUGAAGGAAGCUGGUCGCUUGGAAGACGGUGGAAGUGGCCUGAGAACUAUUGUGUCCAUAAGAAAGACUCAAGAGUCUUUUGUGGCGAGAUUUACCAGAUUGCUUCUUUUGAUAAAUUGGUUCUAGAAUUGGCAUUAACAAAUCAUGGUUUAAAGACAAUGGUAUACCUAAGUUCUUAUGAUUAAACAACACUGAGGCACAUUGUGACAAACGUACUUGGAUAAGGAUUGAGCGAGUGGAGUGGCUAGAGUGGAGGGAGCAGCAAGGGAGCAGGACCGGGGAGGUGACACCGCAAGAUAGAUAGAUAGAUAGAUAGAAUAUCCCCCUCUUAACCAGUUCAUAACUGUCGCCGUGCCAGCUGGCUGUGCCCAACACUAUUCUAUUCUCCACGUCCAGGCGUCGACAAUGGCGACCAUUGCGACGUCCAGCCAUCCUUGGCUAUCAUGAUUUCCUAUGAUCAAGCCGGAUUCAACCUAGUUUGUGAUCGCCUGAAUCAUUGCGAACUUGGAUAAAGUAUUCCAGGCAUAUCCAGUAACACUAAAUUUUCAAUCCUAAUUUGUAAGGAAAAAAAAAAAAAAAAAAGACUUUGACCAUUUCCCCAUUGGCUUCCCUCUCUCUCAUGUCAGCUCUUCCUUCCGACUCUCAACAGAUUGAUCGAUCGAUCAUUCCUUAUCAAGCACAACAACACCAUGGCCUUCACUUAUACACUUACACGCAGCAAGCAGCAGAAAGAAUUCACCAACGAAGGCCGUCCCGCUGCUUAUCCCAAUCUCAACCAGGUAAUUACGGACCCGGAGCUCCCCUGAAUUCUGGCCUCCUGCACAGAGGAUAGCCCCUCUUGUAAGUUUUUUAGUUGAUCGAGCCAUAUUUAUUUUCUUCUCACAAUCACAGUUGGUGUAUGCUUUGUUGGCGCAUGGCCAACAUUGUGGACCAAGGCAGGUAAUUUUUUGCUGCCAGAUCUUUAAAUCAAUAGCUCAUGGCCUGCAAAGGAGCUGCAUACCAUCGACUGCUUAUGUUUUCACCAGUGGCACCAUCUUUUGCAUCUUGGAGUGGUUUGUUGCAAAGCUGCGCACAAGUACGGACUCCCCGAGGGGCCUUGCAAUGACAUCUGUGUGCAAUUGCUGCUCCAUCACACAGGUUUCAAGAACCGGAAGCAUUAGGUUGUUUUAGGGUUGUGAAAAGUUUGAGCAAAAGAAAUCUUCACUUCAUUACUGACCUUUAUGCACCCUCAUCCAUUGGUAACAUUUGACCGAUGACUGUCAUGCUAUACCUUUUUUGAAUGGAAAAAAUAAUUUCGUUGCCACGAGAGCCUGACUGAACUGAUGACUUUGAUUGGAAUUUAAUAAAUUUAGCUACUGCAUUAAGAUUUUAUUCAUUUUAAAGCUCAGAGGGUGCGUGGUGGCAGUGCAAUCCCUCUUGAAGAGAGGGAUUUUCACAUUCUUGGAGUUGGCAAUUGCGGCAUGCCUUUCUGAGAUCCUUUCCCGGAGAAUCAUCCCGUCCCAGAUAAACAGAAUUAACAGAUCAUUCUCACAUGGAGGCGGACAGUGACGGGAGCAUCACAAUCAGGUGGCUUGGGGACGUGUUGUAACGCGACCUCUUGCUUCCACAAGAAUCGGUGGUUCCUUUUGUUGUGCGCUGCUUGCAAGGUUUCCAGACAGAAUCAAUCAAAAUUAUACUAAACUCUUUGUUGCGCUUGGGCAGGAAGUCGAGGAAAAAUGCUAGGCAGCACCAUGGAUAAGAAUGAAAAAACAUGUGGCUGGGGAAGAUUAGGUGAGGACGGUGAGCGGUGCAUUUGAAACUUGAAGAAAGCUAAACCCUAAUAAGAAAAGGUGACGGCAACGUGAAAGACUUUUUGAGCUUAGAAUAUGCUAGUAUAUUUGGUUCUAGAAAUGUUGAUUCUUAAUCUUUUUUACUUUUAAACCUAGUUUCUCAAACCAAAAGUUAAUGAGUGGAGUGUGUCAGAUUCUCUUGUCUGUAAGGACUUGCAGAAAUGUAGGCCCAUGAAUCACGACCCAUUGAUUGAUUCUAAUCUUCGAAAUAUUGACUUUACAUAAUAGUUGUUAGCCUCCAAGAGAUCACACGAAAUCUCUCAGAGCUUGGGCAAAGGCCUUGAGGUUCCUGUCCGAGGAUCCUCCCUCGGCUAUGGCAGCCGCGGUAGCCUCGCGGAAUUCCCGAGCCCGGGCUCGCAUCUCGCGACCCUCGUCGCCUCUCAUCAGCCUCACCACUAGAUCUGCGAUCCUCUCGCUCGAGACCGAGACCGUGGAGCUUUUAUCCCGAUCAUCCUGGACCGGGAUCGCCAGCUUCCAGUGCUCCACAAGCUCCUUGCAGUUCACGUUCUGCUCCGCCAUGCAAGGCCAGGCGAGCAUCGGCACGCCCGCGCAGAUCCCCUCCACGGUCGAGUUCCAUCCGCAGUGCGUCAGGAAUCCUCCCACCGCCGGGUGGAGCAAGACGUGCAUUUGCGGCGCCCACGAGAUCACGAUCCCGCGCUUGCCAAUCCGCUGCUUCAAUCCCUCGAAGAAAUCGUGAACCGAUGGAUCCGCGACGAGGGUCUUGCGCAGCACCAGUACGAAUGGCUGGUUGCUGCGCUCCAGGCCCCUGGCGAGCUCCUGGAAUUGCUCCACGGACAUGGUGGCCACGCUGCCGAAGGAGACGUAGAUCACGGAGGAUUCCUUCUGUGUGUCGAGCCACUCCAGGCACGCCAGAUCCUCGGGAGACAGGAGCUCGCUGGAUCGCCCCACCGCGGUGGAUUCCCCCGCGAAGAAUGCCGGGGACAGGCACGGGCCGACGGGGAAGUAGCUGGAUUUCAUCUCGCUGCGCAGCGUCGCCACGGCGUGUGGCUCCAGCUCCUCGUAGGUGUUGCACAGCGCGAAUCUCGCCUCCGCGAACCGCGACGCGCCGUCGCAGACCAUGCCCAAGAUUGGGUGAUCGUAGUAGAAGGAGAGCGGCAGAUCCGUGGCGGGCAUUGGCGGGCAGCCAGGCAGGAAUGUGAUGAGCUCGUCCGUUUUCCUGGCUGGAAGAAGAAGAGUUUCCUUAGAACCCUAAAAACAGGGGAGGGAGAACUUACUCGCGACUGGCACGAAUCCUUUGGACAUGAGCUCCGGCAGGAAGAGGUGAUAGAUGUCGCUGAUCGCAUUGGAGGUCCAGAACACCGCCCUGGGGAUGCCGAAUUCGUCCGCCAGAUCCUGG
This 7987-nucleotide long non-coding RNA is filed under the name Selaginella moellendorffii. RNAcentral's name for it is "long non-coding RNA (SMOE_LNC000740)". The stretch from base 4165 to 4237 matches the Rfam family "tRNA". Lineage: Eukaryota; Viridiplantae; Streptophyta; Lycopodiopsida; Selaginellales; Selaginellaceae. The record is from RNAcentral.